Non-coding RNA from Musa acuminata subsp. malaccensis (wild Malaysian banana), 103 nucleotides. The record is from Rfam. NCBI's taxonomy places the organism in Eukaryota, Viridiplantae, Streptophyta, Magnoliopsida, Zingiberales, Musaceae.
CGUUAAUGAUAGGCCUGGAGGCUGAAGAACUCAGAAAUGUUGUGUUGCCAUCAGCUUCAUCUCCUGUCCUAUGAGUUUGGAGUUAAAUAACAACACAAAAUUU